AACAAAACUUAAGUGGAAAAUGUCAAGAUUUAAAUGAGUUGAUCAAAAAAUUGCUCUCUAAUUUGGACUCUAUUACAAUUGAUAAAGGUUGUGAGUUAUUUAAGUGUAGUCUGAAUAAGGAUGGUCCAAUAUACGUCCUUCCUCAAGAUGUAUGCGAGUUUGUGAGAAUGAGCACAUUCAAUAUAUCCAUCUUACGAAUCCACGCAAUGUACAUUCACCAGUUAGCCAAGAACUUGAAUGUGCCGUUCGGAAUUAUGUGUCGAUCUGAACUAGCAUCGGCGCGUGAGCGUCCAGCCCAGACAAGUACUUAUAUUACUAACUUUAUGCUUGAAUCUAAUCGAAGCCGUUUAUCCUAGCGCCAUAUAUUCAAAAUGGUCAUUGGAUGCUAAUUCUUAUUUGUUUGCGGGACAAUAUUGUUUACGUGUUUGAUUCCUUAAACGACACAAGGAACUUAGACCUCCAACUAGUUUUGAGCAUUGCAUAUAGAGCAUACAUAGUUCAACGCGUGCGCACAGGUGGUAAUAAAAGUAAGCUCCAUUGGUGUGAUGUUGAGUGUCCCCAACAAGGAGAAAUAACAAAGUGUGGUUACUAUUUUAUGAGAUUCAUGUAUGAUAUAGUUAUGGAAUAUCAUAAAAAUCCAGAGAUUAAAUGGAAAGAGGUA
Long non-coding RNA from Daucus carota subsp. sativus, 661 nucleotides. RefSeq lists it as uncharacterized. The record is from RefSeq and is a predicted model, not a curated record. NCBI's taxonomy places the organism in Eukaryota, Viridiplantae, Streptophyta, Magnoliopsida, Apiales, Apiaceae. The transcript has 5 exons.